Gopherus evgoodei (Goodes thornscrub tortoise) is the source of this 881-nucleotide long non-coding RNA. RefSeq lists it as uncharacterized. The record is from RefSeq and is a predicted model, not a curated record. Lineage: Eukaryota; Metazoa; Chordata; Testudines; Testudinidae. The transcript has 2 exons.
CCGCAUAUCCGCAUGUGCCCGCCUACCAAGUUAUUAAUUCAGCCCCUUCUGCGUUGCUAUUGGCUGCACUAGCCGCGUAGGGUGAGGCUAGUCAGGGUCUCGAUACAGAAAGGAGGUGGUGACGGCGUGGGGAAUUUUUGGUUGUUUCCGUUUCCGGCGCGGUGAGCUCUGUGGCGCGGGGCCGGCGUUGUGAGGCACCUUAGAGGUUGGUGAUUCAAAUCACCUGCUCUGAAGAAAUCUGAAUGUGGCUUCAGUGGGAAUUUUAAGGACAUCUUAUGCACCCCUAAUGUUGCAGAUGUUUCUGCUGGGGAAGUCAAUCUCAUCUCAUUAUGAAGACCUGUAAUAUAUGAUAAAAAUAAGUAACAUUUAAGUGAAAUUGCAGAGUUUAUACAAUCCCUCUAAUUUGUUCUUGUAAUCUGAAUUGGAUUGCCUAUUAUAAUGGGUACCUAGUUGCUAAAUUGAUUUGUAGCACACUUCCAAUGAACUAGUUAAACUCUAUAGUUCUUGUACUGUUGACAUUGCUUAUGCUACAUAAUACAACAUUAUUCAGUACCACACAACUGACCCUUGUGUAACUCUUGGCUUCCUGGGAUACAAAACUAGCUAUACAUCUUUGGAUAAAUAAAAAGACUAUUAGUAAACACUUGUGAAAUAUGCUAAGACUUAACUGUAGUCACUCACUUGCCUGUUUCUUUCAAUAAAAAAGGAAUACAAAUGCUUUCUGCAACUCCUCACACAACUGUCACUAGUAGUUAAAGGCUAGCAUCUAUUCUAGUAUUCCAGAAUGCAAGUGAGAUUAGGAAGCUCAUUUAAACUUCAUUUUGAUCAGUUUGUUACUCCAAUACCAGAAGUUGAAGUGACUUGAGUGGCAUCUAGAACCC